GGAGAUAGCUCAGUAGUAGAGCACAUGCCUAGCAUGCAUGAGGUCCUGGGUUCAAUCCCCAGUACCUCCA
RNAcentral lists this transfer RNA (70 nucleotides) under Camelus bactrianus (Bactrian camel). It matches the Rfam family "tRNA". Rfam says of the family: Transfer RNA (tRNA) molecules are approximately 80 nucleotides in length. Their secondary structure includes four short double-helical elements and three loops (D, anti-codon, and T loops). The record is from Rfam by way of RNAcentral. RNAcentral also lists the same sequence under 1 other name. Lineage: Eukaryota; Metazoa; Chordata; Mammalia; Artiodactyla; Camelidae.